CUUUGGUCCCCUCGCAACGAUAUAUUGUGAACCCCGUCAGGCCCGGAAGGGAGCAGCGGUAACAAUAGACUCGUGUGCCGGGGUGUGGCUGGAGUAG
This 97-nucleotide signal recognition particle RNA is filed under the name Gammaproteobacteria bacterium. RNAcentral's name for it is "signal recognition particle sRNA small type". It matches the Rfam family "Bacterial small signal recognition particle RNA". From Rfam's summary of the family: The signal recognition particle (SRP) is a universally conserved ribonucleoprotein involved in the co-translational targeting of proteins to membranes. Archaeal SRP consists of a 7S RNA and homologues of the eukaryotic SRP19 and SRP54 proteins. In most bacteria, the SRP consists of a 4.5S RNA and the Ffh protein (a homologue of the eukaryotic SRP54 protein). The record is from RNAcentral. Lineage: Bacteria; Pseudomonadati; Pseudomonadota; Gammaproteobacteria.